UUUGGGUAAAGAAUGAAUCACUGCUUGCACUUACUACUAAUAAAUGAGUAUAUUACCAGUAGACUUAAGCUCUCUGAUUAUGUUUGAUAUAUCUCGCAGAUGCUACCAUAUUGUAACAUUUGAGCAUUUCUUAUAGGUAUCAAACUUGAUAGUAAGCCUUCUUAAUAUGGAAGCUAAAGUACCUCCAAAGGGUUCCUUUAGAGCUUCUCACAAUGCAUGUGCAGUCUCAUACUUCUCAUAUUCACAAAUUAUGUCAUUCUUCAUACUACUUUGC
This 274-nucleotide long non-coding RNA is filed under the name Elaeis guineensis (African oil palm). RNAcentral describes it as "long non-coding RNA (EGUI_LNC043183)". Lineage: Eukaryota; Viridiplantae; Streptophyta; Magnoliopsida; Arecales; Arecaceae. The record is from RNAcentral.